UAUCAAACAUGAAAACUGGCAACUCUUUUCAGUUUCAAAAGAGGACAAUCUUCUCUUAUUUACAGAAGACAUCUAGAACACAGCUGCUGACAUGUUACAUCUGGAAAUCACUGCUUGCAUAGGCGAGUCAAAGCUUCUUAGACCUGAUUCACAAAUUAUUCUGAAUCUAGAAGGUCCCUUUCACCACAGAAUAUUCUAUGAUGUCCUGUAAAGGGAACAAUAGAAAAAGGCAGAUAUAGCCCUAUUGGGCCAACAGAGGUAUCCCUAAUAAUGCACAAUAAAGAGGCUUCUUUUCAAAAAGUAAUUUGUCUCCAAGGUGAUAUCAGAGGGGCAAGCCAUUCCUGAAAGUACAGCUUUCUUGCUCUUAGUGACCGGUCUUCUUUGGGUAGGAGCUGUUCAUAUGUUAUUUGUACCAGAGGCAUAUUGAAGCACACACAUCAUGUAUGUCUUGCAGUCUUUCUUCCUCAGAUUACCUGCAGGCAUUCCUUAAAGAGAAUCACAACACUAAAUCUUACCCAAGGGUGAGAUUUCCAAGAGUGAUAAAAACUCUUCUGCCAGUCAGGUGCCAAGGUGUCAACAUUUUUUUUAGAGCCCUCUUCCCUGUAACUGUGUAAAGUCUAGGGGCACUGAAGGCUGCCCGUAACUGCGUCGUCAUACUGCAAGUGAAAGCCAGUCAGGUCAGGAGUGACACAGAUGAGACGAGGAUUUUCUGAAGAAACGAAAGAGGCAAGUAGGAGUGUCCCAGAAUCUAUGCGGAAGGCUAUGGAGAUUCCCCAUUUUGUGAAGAUAGUGGAACAAACAGAGAACAAGACAGGUGCUAGCUCUGCAGCUCCUCAGCAGGCAGUCCUGGUGAGAAGGAUGAAGACUCCCCAUGCAGGAAGGACCAUGGACAGAAACACCACGAGGGCUCAGGAAUCCAUGCGGGAGGAGGUGGAGAGGAUUCUGACUGAGAAGCUGGCUGUGUUGCAGAGCCAACUGGAAGUCUCACAGCACACAGCCCCACCUCCGUAGGAAAUGGCCAACACCCAGGCUUCCUUCCAGGCCAUCUCUGAAAAAAUGCAGUCUCUGAUGACAUUUUUGCAGAACGUGGAGGCAUCUAGAAAGCAAGAUGCCUCAGAGAUCCUUGAGAUCCUCAGAGCAGAGAUGCAGGGCAAAAUAAGCAAGGAUUUG
Molecule: long non-coding RNA, 1170 nt
Filed under: Anas platyrhynchos platyrhynchos (common mallard)
Lineage: Eukaryota; Metazoa; Chordata; Aves; Anseriformes; Anatidae
Description: lncRNA (ENSAPLG00000019542.1)
Source: RNAcentral